RNAcentral lists this ribosomal RNA (2902 nucleotides) under Escherichia coli KTE56. RNAcentral's name for it is "bacterial LSU rRNA". It matches the Rfam family "Bacterial large subunit ribosomal RNA". The record is from RNAcentral. Lineage: Bacteria; Pseudomonadati; Pseudomonadota; Gammaproteobacteria; Enterobacterales; Enterobacteriaceae.
UUAAGCGACUAAGCGUACACGGUGGAUGCCCUGGCAGUCAGAGGCGAUGAAGGACGUGCUAAUCUGCGAUAAGCGUCGGUAAGGUGAUAUGAACCGUUAUAACCGGCGAUUUCCGAAUGGGGAAACCCAGUGUGAUUCGUCACACUAUCAUUAACUGAAUCCAUAGGUUAAUGAGGCGAACCGGGGGAACUGAAACAUCUAAGUACCCCGAGGAAAAGAAAUCAACCGAGAUUCCCCCAGUAGCGGCGAGCGAACGGGGAGCAGCCCAGAGCCUGAAUCAGUGUGUGUGUUAGUGGAAGCGUCUGGAAAGGCGCGCGAUACAGGGUGACAGCCCCGUACACAAAAAUGCACAUACUGUGAGCUCGAUGAGUAGGGCGGGACACGUGGUAUCCUGUCUGAAUAUGGGGGGACCAUCCUCCAAGGCUAAAUACUCCUGACUGACCGAUAGUGAACCAGUACCGUGAGGGAAAGGCGAAAAGAACCCCGGCGAGGGGAGUGAAAAAGAACCUGAAACCGUGUACGUACAAGCAGUGGGAGCACGCUUCGGCGUGUGACUGCGUACCUUUUGUAUAAUGGGUCAGCGACUUAUAUUCUGUAGCAAGGUUAACCGAAUAGGGGAGCCGAAGGGAAACCGAGUCUUAACUGGGCGUUAAGUUGCAGGGUAUAGACCCGAAACCCGGUGAUCUAGCCAUGGGCAGGUUGAAGGUUGGGUAACACUAACUGGAGGACCGAACCGACUAAUGUUGAAAAAUUAGCGGAUGACUUGUGGCUGGGGGUGAAAGGCCAAUCAAACCGGGAGAUAGCUGGUUCUCCCCGAAAGCUAUUUAGGUAGCGCCUCGUGAAUUCAUCUCCGGGGGUAGAGCACUGUUUCGGCAAGGGGGUCAUCCCGACUUACCAACCCGAUGCAAACUGCGAAUACCGGAGAAUGUUAUCACGGGAGACACACGGCGGGUGCUAACGUCCGUCGUGAAGAGGGAAACAACCCAGACCGCCAGCUAAGGUCCCAAAGUCAUGGUUAAGUGGGAAACGAUGUGGGAAGGCCCAGACAGCCAGGAUGUUGGCUUAGAAGCAGCCAUCAUUUAAAGAAAGCGUAAUAGCUCACUGGUCGAGUCGGCCUGCGCGGAAGAUGUAACGGGGCUAAACCAUGCACCGAAGCUGCGGCAGCGACGCUUAUGCGUUGUUGGGUAGGGGAGCGUUCUGUAAGCCUGCGAAGGUGUGCUGUGAGGCAUGCUGGAGGUAUCAGAAGUGCGAAUGCUGACAUAAGUAACGAUAAAGCGGGUGAAAAGCCCGCUCGCCGGAAGACCAAGGGUUCCUGUCCAACGUUAAUCGGGGCAGGGUGAGUCGACCCCUAAGGCGAGGCCGAAAGGCGUAGUCGAUGGGAAACAGGUUAAUAUUCCUGUACUUGGUGUUACUGCGAAGGGGGGACGGAGAAGGCUAUGUUGGCCGGGCGACGGUUGUCCCGGUUUAAGCGUGUAGGCUGGUUUUCCAGGCAAAUCCGGAAAAUCAAGGCUGAGGCGUGAUGACGAGGCACUACGGUGCUGAAGCAACAAAUGCCCUGCUUCCAGGAAAAGCCUCUAAGCAUCAGGUAACAUCAAAUCGUACCCCAAACCGACACAGGUGGUCAGGUAGAGAAUACCAAGGCGCUUGAGAGAACUCGGGUGAAGGAACUAGGCAAAAUGGUGCCGUAACUUCGGGAGAAGGCACGCUGAUAUGUAGGUGAGGUCCCUCGCGGAUGGAGCUGAAAUCAGUCGAAGAUACCAGCUGGCUGCAACUGUUUAUUAAAAACACAGCACUGUGCAAACACGAAAGUGGACGUAUACGGUGUGACGCCUGCCCGGUGCCGGAAGGUUAAUUGAUGGGGUUAGCGCAAGCGAAGCUCUUGAUCGAAGCCCCGGUAAACGGCGGCCGUAACUAUAACGGUCCUAAGGUAGCGAAAUUCCUUGUCGGGUAAGUUCCGACCUGCACGAAUGGCGUAAUGAUGGCCAGGCUGUCUCCACCCGAGACUCAGUGAAAUUGAACUCGCUGUGAAGAUGCAGUGUACCCGCGGCAAGACGGAAAGACCCCGUGAACCUUUACUAUAGCUUGACACUGAACAUUGAGCCUUGAUGUGUAGGAUAGGUGGGAGGCUUAGAAGUGUGGACGCCAGUCUGCAUGGAGCCGACCUUGAAAUACCACCCUUUAAUGUUUGAUGUUCUAACGUUGACCCGUAAUCCGGGUUGCGGACAGUGUCUGGUGGGUAGUUUGACUGGGGCGGUCUCCUCCUAAAGAGUAACGGAGGAGCACGAAGGUUGGCUAAUCCUGGUCGGACAUCAGGAGGUUAGUGCAAUGGCAUAAGCCAGCUUGACUGCGAGCGUGACGGCGCGAGCAGGUGCGAAAGCAGGUCAUAGUGAUCCGGUGGUUCUGAAUGGAAGGGCCAUCGCUCAACGGAUAAAAGGUACUCCGGGGAUAACAGGCUGAUACCGCCCAAGAGUUCAUAUCGACGGCGGUGUUUGGCACCUCGAUGUCGGCUCAUCACAUCCUGGGGCUGAAGUAGGUCCCAAGGGUAUGGCUGUUCGCCAUUUAAAGUGGUACGCGAGCUGGGUUUAGAACGUCGUGAGACAGUUCGGUCCCUAUCUGCCGUGGGCGCUGGAGAACUGAGGGGGGCUGCUCCUAGUACGAGAGGACCGGAGUGGACGCAUCACUGGUGUUCGGGUUGUCAUGCCAAUGGCACUGCCCGGUAGCUAAAUGCGGAAGAGAUAAGUGCUGAAAGCAUCUAAGCACGAAACUUGCCCCGAGAUGAGUUCUCCCUGACCCUUUAAGGGUCCUGAAGGAACGUUGAAGACGACGACGUUGAUAGGCCGGGUGUGUAAGCGCAGCGAUGCGUUGAGCUAACCGGUACUAAUGAACCGUGAGGCUUAACCUU